GUAACAGUAAGGUUUCUAUGAAUCACGUUUCUUGAUUGGGCUAUUCGUAAAAGUCUUCAAGGCCAUGCAUAUAAAUUGACGUAAGAUAUAAUGGACUGCUCAUUACCUUUCCUUCGAAGCAUGUAAAUUUCAAUAAUAUGUGUGGAUUAAACAUAAACUACAAAUGAACAGGGGAAUACCCAACAUGUGCCUAUCGUAUCGUUAAUUUUUGCUAGAUUGAACGCACAUCAUACAUAUAUAAUAAUAUAAAAACAUUACAGAAGAAACUAUAAAAAAUAAUAGCGCUGGAAGUUCUAUCUCAUAGACAGUGUGAAAAUGGAAAUUAUUAUUUUUAACUAUUAUUUUUGGGAUUAUUUUUCGAAAAUAGUUUAAAUAAAAAAUUUUUUUUCAAAAUUUGAAGAAGUCAACAUCUUGCUUAAACCUUCAUCUUUAAAAUGACAUCUUGUCUAUCAAAAUCGAUUAAGAAUUAUACCUGAAUUUAUUAUCGAUAUUAUAAAACCAAAGGUAAUAAAUAACCUUAAAUAUUAAGUGCUACUUAUUACAUCUUCGUUUUUGUACUCUUAUAUGUUGAUAACAAUAUAACACAAAACACAAUGCUCUUGAUAAUUUUAAUCGCAAA
Vespa crabro (European hornet) is the source of this 619-nucleotide long non-coding RNA. RefSeq lists it as uncharacterized. The transcript is spliced from 3 exons. The record is from RefSeq and is a predicted model, not a curated record. NCBI's taxonomy places the organism in Eukaryota, Metazoa, Arthropoda, Insecta, Hymenoptera, Vespidae.